UACGGAGGGCGCGAGCGUUAAUCGGAACUACUGGGCGUAAAGCGCGCGUAGGCUGUUGUGUAAGUUGGGGGUGAAAUCCCACGGCUCAACCGUGGAACAGCCCUUGAUACUGCGCGACUUGAAUCCGGGAGAGGGUGGCGGAACUCCAGGUGUAGGAGUGAAAUCCGUAGAUAUCUGGAGGAACAUCAGUGGCGAAGGCGGCCACCUGGACCGGUAUUGACGCUGAGGCGCGAAAGCGUGGGGAGCAAACAGG
This 253-nucleotide ribosomal RNA is filed under the name uncultured bacterium. RNAcentral describes it as "partial 16S ribosomal RNA". It matches the Rfam family "Bacterial small subunit ribosomal RNA", at positions 524 to 776 of the family's 1533-position model. The record is from RNAcentral.